CUAGUAGAUGAACGGCCAAAAACAGAAGAGUAUCUCAUGAAGAUUCUUUUUCUACAACCAAUAAAAAAUCGACACAUCUCAAUUUUAGGAAUCUUCUAUGAAUAGGAUUAUAGAGGGUUUGCAUGCAGUUAAUCACCCAAUAGUAAAAUCUGGCCACAAGAGCUGAACUAUAUUGCAUACACAAAGAUCUGAGGAAGGGUGUGAAACCUGAAAUAAUGUCCCUGCC
Molecule: long non-coding RNA, 226 nt
Filed under: Elaeis guineensis (African oil palm)
Lineage: Eukaryota; Viridiplantae; Streptophyta; Magnoliopsida; Arecales; Arecaceae
Description: long non-coding RNA (EGUI_LNC023786)
Source: RNAcentral